CUGCCUUCGACGAGGAGGGUUAAGUCGUAACAAGGUAUCUGUAGGGGAACCUGCAGAUGGAUCACCUCCUAAGAAA
Molecule: ribosomal RNA, 76 nt
Filed under: Methanobacteriota archaeon
Lineage: Archaea; Methanobacteriati; Methanobacteriota
Description: Euryarchaeota archaeon (marine metagenome) partial 16S ribosomal RNA
Rfam family: Archaeal small subunit ribosomal RNA
Source: RNAcentral